GUCAGCUGAUUUUGGGUCACAUGAGAAGUACUUUGAUGAGACUUGAGACCAUUGUUGUAGUGAGAGUGCAUUAAUCAAGACAUGACAAUGUACACAUUAAUUACAUUUCCUGCUUCCUAGUUAGUUUCUCCUGUGAAAAAGGCAAAGGUUAGAGAUAUAAUCAAAAGUUGUUGUAGCAGCAAUAUGUGACAAUGGGCCCACCAUGAGGCCUACACUUGGUAGUUG
This is a long non-coding RNA of Alosa sapidissima (American shad), 225 nucleotides long. RefSeq lists it as uncharacterized. NCBI's taxonomy places the organism in Eukaryota, Metazoa, Chordata, Actinopteri, Clupeiformes, Clupeidae. The transcript is spliced from 3 exons. The record is from RefSeq and is a predicted model, not a curated record.